Molecule: long non-coding RNA, 3630 nt
Filed under: Sus scrofa (pig)
Lineage: Eukaryota; Metazoa; Chordata; Mammalia; Artiodactyla; Suidae
Description: lncRNA (ENSSSCG00005034526.1)
Source: RNAcentral
GAUAUGGCUCGUGGACAGCAGAAGAUUCAGUCUCAGCAGAAAAAUGCCAAAAAGCAAGCUGGACAAAAGAAGAAACAAGGACAUGACCAAAAGGCUGCUGCCAAAGCUGCCUUAAUAUAUACCUGCACUGUUUGUAGGACACAAAUGCCAGACCCUAAGACCUUCAAGCAGCACUUUGAGAGCAAGCAUCCUAAGACUCCACUUCCUCCAGAAUUAGCUGAUGUUCAGGCAUAAAAUUGUUUACAGGUGAAUUCAUGACACCUUUGACUCUUCUACUGUCUCAGACCUUAGGUAAACCAGGAUUCAUACCUAUCACUGCCAUUUAGAAUCCGAGUGACUUUAAGUAGUAAACUUAAGUCACAUCUCUGCAUCUCAGUCCUUGUCUCUAAAGUGAGGAUAACCACCUACUUUACUGGAUAUUGGGAGACCACCCUUCCCCUCCACAGGGGUUGCUAAGCUGUGAUGCCACAGAAAGGAGCUAUCUGCAUCCACACCUCCGUUCACUCAUCAGCCGUGGGGAGAACAAAGCCAACAGAGAGAGUAAAUAGGAGAUGAGAACUCUGGUGGCUUUGUUCUGCUUGAGCACACGCCUCCUGCCCUUCUCAGCAAUAGGCAUCAGUUCCUCCCCUCUGUUGGCCCCAAGCUAGUUGGGGUUGGGGUCCCGCACACUCUUAAUGGACUAACUGAUUCAUGGUAAGUUUGACUAGUAUGAAUGUUCACAGGCUUAGCUGAGAUUCUCCUCAGAGUAAUUCAGUGUUGUCAUUUGGUUAAAAGUUCCAGCCCAAGGUCUCACAACAUUUUAAUGGAACUAAAAAGUGGUCUACUUUUACUUUAUCACCCUCCAUAUAGACCGACCAGUCUGCCCACACGGUCUCUGAGAUUCUUGGGGGCCCCUCCAAGGGGAAGAUCCCCCAGUAGAAGUAGUCAGAGUAUUUGGAGACAAGGGACACUAAAUUGAGCAGUACUUUGCUUGGGGACCUAGGAUAUCUCUAGACAAGGAGAUUGGGGCAAAACAGUCAAGUGAUUCUGGGUUGAAAUCAUGUGGGACUGGAUUAAAGUGACUCUUUGGACCUGAGUUUCUAUAAUUCUGGCCCCAGUAAAAGGGUCUGGUUGAAUCAGGAGUCCCAGAAAGCUUUAGUGCAUUUCUGGAAUCUCAUGGAUUCCAGUCUUCCUAGAGAGAGUAAAUCAUUAUUCGUGUGUGUGUGUGUGUGUGUGUGUACACCCAGGUUCCAGCCUCAUACACUUCUCCAGAAUAGAAGAAUUAGAAGCAUGGUGAAAAAACCCCAGAAUUCCUUAAAACUUCUUUGGGAAUCAUCUCCUGGAUUUGGCCUCCUUUCCUCCUGUGACAUUUUUCAUCUCAAAGCUCUAAAUUCUUUUCACAGCCGCUAAGUAGGUGAAAGCCCUUCGAGAACAGUCUCCUAUUGUCUCGCUUUCCUCUGGGAAAUAAGUGGGAAGGUGAUUUGAGGAGUUGGGGAGGAGAGAACAUUUUCCCUGCACCUCAAAUCUGGCAGGCCCAGGUUGAAAAAGCUCCAGAAAAUGUAGCACUUGAAAAUGUAGCCAGGAGAUUGGAGACCCAGGAGGCCCAGAACGAGAAGCAAAAGUGGGUUUGCAGUGUUAUUCUUGUCUUCGCUAGGCCAAUCCCUCCUCCUUGCCGUGCUGUGCUUGCUGCCUGGAGCAGAUCUUUUUUAAAGGGUAACUCUCUCCUUGCUGAACCAGAGCUUUUGUCGCUUUGGCCUAUGGGGUUCCCGUGGACAAAGGAGGGAAUUGGGAGAGAGGACCAAGUCCCCGUCUGGCCACCUUGCAGCCAGAGCAGGCUCAGGUUGUGUGAGCGUGCACCACAUGGCUGUGAGUGUCCCUUUUCCCCAUCACUGUUUUGCUGGUGACACAAUCAGCCUCUUGAAGAUGCUAAUGAGAUUCUUGUAGAGAGCUACAAAAUCAGCUGUGGCAGAUGGUAGAAGGUUAGGUUUUAAUUUCUCUUGUUCUACUGUUGUUUUUCUCUAAAAAUGUGCUAACCAACGUGCCGUUUUCUUGUGCUUUAUUUCGACAAAGGCACAAGUUAAUUUUUUAAAAUCCUUUUCAUCCAACCAUCCUCUCUAAUCAAAAACUCAAUGGGCAAUAUCUUUUUAGAAACAAAAGCAAACCAUUACCUGGCAUCUUCUCUCCCCCCUGCCCCCCAUGCAGUCUGUAUUUCUUUACACAGUCGAAAUCUUGUAAAUCGUCUCUGAAUCUAUAGAGAUAAUAUAUACCAAUGUUAUGAGAGCCCCUAGGAAUGUCUAAUUUCAUUUUCUUAUUGGCUGGGACAAGGCUAUUGGGUUUUGGUUAAUCUGUACUCCUCUAUAGAUAGAUAUAAAAGCAAAAAAAUAUUAUUGGAGCCAAUAAAGAGAAUAGCUACCAUUUAUUGAAUAUUUUUGAUAUCUGAGCACCAUGCUAAAUAAGGUAUGGACACUAUUUAAUUUACGUCUCACAUUAAUCCUAUAAGUAGGCACUAUCAUUAUCCCCAUUUCACAGAUGAGGAGACUGACACUUGGAGAAAGAAACUUAUUCAAGAUCAGAUGGCAGGAAGUGGCAGAACUGGAAUUCAAAGCCUGGAGGCCCCACUCCAAAAUCAGUGCUUUGAAACGGUGUGUUCUUUUGUUUUCCUUGAUGAAUUUCUGUUGCAUUAGUGCUGUAGGCUUAAAGAUUCAGGAGUAAUUUUCCUGAUUUCAAACCCUUGUUUGGGGCCCAGAUAUCAAAAGACUUAUUUAUGGUGGGAGGCGCUGACCUGACUUAUGGCAGUGUUGGUUUGGCUGCAAAGAUGGAAGACAGAUCCAUCAUUUUGCAAAUGAAGAAAUUGGGAUCCACUGGGUAUAAUGUGUCAGCUAUCUAUUGCUGUGUAACAAAUCAGCCUAAAAUUUAGAGGCUUAACCCACAAAAGCAUUUUCUUGCUCCCAAUUCUGUGGGCCAGGACUUUGGGCAGAAUUCAUUAGUGCUGUCUCAGGACUAUUCCAUGUGAUGUCAGCUAGGCUGCUGGGACUAGGGCUUCUCUCACAGGCUUGGGGCCUAGAGGUUGGUGGCUGGCUUUCUGCCCAACAUGACAGCCUGGACUUUAGGUGGUGGCUCAAGGUGGCAAGAGAGCAAAGGGCCUCAGCCCAGACUGGAACAGCACCCCCUCUGUCUCCUUCUAUUGGUCCAAGCCACACUCAAGUUCCUUGAUUCAAGGGGAGGGAAAUAGACUGCACCUUCUGAUGAGAGGAGUAGCAUAUGCCAAUAGGGGUGGCCUGUGCAUGGCCAUCUUUGCCGACAGCACCACACAUGGUGACAGACAGCCAAGGAAUAGGCCAGUAUUACAGAAAAUCCUAUUGUGGUAGCUUUCCUGGAAGGGAAAAGACUCCCCUUAGAAACUACAUUCUACGGAGUUGCCCUUGUGGCUCAGCAGUAAUGAAUCCAACUAGCAUCCAUGAGGAUGCAGGUUCAUCCCUGGCCUCGUUCAGUGGGUUAAGGAUCCGGCGUCGCCGUGAGCUGUGGUGUAGGUCGCAGACAUGGCUCAGAUCCUGUGUUGCUGUGGCUGUGGUGUAGGCCGGCAGCUGCAGCUCUGAUUUGACCCCUCUCCUGGCAUGCCACACAUGAGGCCCUAAAAAGAAAAAAAAAAAA